CAGCAAACUCGAGUUUCAUGAAAUCGAGUUUCAAAAAGUAGUAUUUUGCUACUUAUUUUGCAAACAGUGGUAUGUUGCUAAUAAUUUCUGCAAUAAGUGGUAAAUGGCCGAUUUUGCCUAGGGAAUGGGUACGUACUGUUUGGAGAAGAGAGAGGCCAGCAGAGAGAGAGAGAGAGAGAGAGGCUUGGUGAGAAAAUACAAAGAGUGAUCUCACUCUUUUCUUUGAACAAAUCUGAGAGAUGGAGAGUGGGGUGGGUUUUGUGUUUUUACUCAAAUCACACUUCAGGUGGCAUGACAAUAUCACUUGGUAAGAUCAGAGAUUUAUGGUGGUGACAAGUUUUCUAGCUGAACUUCAAGAUCAAACAUUCAAAAUUAAUCCCUUUAAGAAGAAAAGAUUGGAUCAACUUUAGUGUGCAAGGACAACUUGGAGAGAACCAUAGUGCUUUGCUGUUAUGGUGCUACAACAACAGAAAAGAAGAUAUUCAUUGUAGCUCUUAGAAAAGCUCUUGGGGAAGUUUUUGUUAUGUAAUUAUUCUAAUCAUGUAGAAAAAUUUGUUAAGAUUAAGAAAUUAGUAUUAUCUAUGCAUUUUUUAGUACAAAACCUUGUGGUUUUGUGUUAUCUAAUGAAAAAUAUAAUUUUUUUAGUAAAACAAAGGAGCAACACGUGCCUUGCACGUGCAGCCCUAACUAAUCAAUAUAUAAAAAAAGCCAAUAGGCUUAAUGAACAGUAUUUUGGUUUAUUGAGUCGCCUUUAUCCUUAA
Quercus robur (English oak) is the source of this 761-nucleotide long non-coding RNA. RefSeq lists it as uncharacterized. The transcript has 2 exons. The record is from RefSeq and is a predicted model, not a curated record. NCBI's taxonomy places the organism in Eukaryota, Viridiplantae, Streptophyta, Magnoliopsida, Fagales, Fagaceae.